Molecule: long non-coding RNA, 2967 nt
Organism: Marmota monax (woodchuck)
Lineage: Eukaryota; Metazoa; Chordata; Mammalia; Rodentia; Sciuridae
Exons: 2
Source: RefSeq, a predicted model, not a curated record
ACUAUAGUAAAAUUGGCAUUGGAGGAGAGACUGUGGGUCACAAGUUACUUUGGGCUAUGUCAUUAAGAGAACAUCUUCCACCCAUUUCACUUCUACCAGGCAAAGGAGGGAUGGGAGGAGGCAGGAGAAUGGGAAGAGGAAAUCACAAUUGGUUUGGGAAGGUAAACCAGGUGCAAAAUAGAAACAGUAUUUCUAUUGCUUUACAUGAUAGUUAACACAUUUUCUGAAUCUGACAUGAUUUUUACUUGUUUUACUUCUAGGUGGGCUGAGCAACUGUCUCACAGCAAGAGAUCUGGCUUGUAAUCCAGUCUGAGAGAAAUUUGUGUCCUCUGUGGAGCAGGCAGCUGAUGCCAAAACAUGCAGGGGCCUUUUGUCAGAUCACAUCACCCUAGAGGAAGCCUAAUUUCCCCUGACCUCAUUCCAACUGUGCCUGAACAUCUGGGCUCCAAGGAAGAUGUCCCCAGUACACCAACUGACUGAAGUCUUGGUCUAAGUUCUAUAUGUACCUUAAGAUUUGAAGAUUCUGAAACAUGAUUACAGAUGGAUAUGAACAUUCUGACUCUGACUCUGGUGUUGAAAGCCUUGGAAAAAGGGUGUGGGGGAAGCCACAGAAAUUUUAAUUAGCAUUAUAGGCAGAUGUCAUGUAACAGUGGAGGAAAGACUGGUUGUAGUAGGGCCCCCACCCUCCUAAUGAGAAAAGUGAACCUCUAGCUCCUUUAUUCAGAGUUGUCUAGCAUGGGGCAGGUUAGUGAUGGAUAAAGGCUCAGGGCCUGGAGGCAGACAGAUGUGCAUUUUGAUUCUCUGGGCUGCAAGUGGUCAGAUGUAUGAAAUACAGAUUUUGAUCCUAAGGGUAAAGAAUGGGCACUGGAAUUGUCUAGCUUCAAAUGGUGGCUCUGCUAUUAAUUUUUCUAUACACCCAUGGAAAAGUAUUUAAUUUCUUUGUCUCAGCUUUCUCAUGUAUAAAACAGGUAUAAUAUUGUACUUAAUUGAUUUGAAGACAUAUUUCCCCCCUCACACUACUCUAUAUCUGUCUUACAAUUGCCAUUGGCCAGACAGACAUUCUUAGCACUUACUACUCUAAUCUAAAAGAACUCUCUCAAUAAAGAUAAAAUAAUACUUCUAAGUAACAAGGAAACACUGUUUCAUGUUUCAUUGGCAUGUUUUCUUUCUUAGUGGUACAUAAAAUAGUGAUGUAUCUUAUAAUUGAUAUCAUCUUAGAUUCAAUGACAUAUGGUAAUAGUACCUGCCUCAUUACAUCAUUAUAAACAUGAGAAGGGAUAAUUCAAAGAAACAAGUUACCAUACUGCUUGGCAGAGAAAGAAAAUUCAAUAAUGUUAAUUAUAAACUAGCUACUGUAUAAAGUCAGUAGCUACCUGGAGGGAAGCAGAGUUCUGAUGGCUAUCCCUAGCAAGAAAAGGUCUUGGGAAAUCAUAAACUUUACUUAAUUAUACCUCCAAAAGGCUCUUCCCUGUCCUGAAGCAACAAUGGUCAGAGCAGAGUUCUAUUAUAGAUGAAGAAAAGAGAACAAACACAAAACUCAAAUAUACUGCUAAUGGUCAAGAAAGAGCCCUCAGAGGAGACAGAAACCCCAGUGUAUCAUUUCAGAGCCUGUGAAGGGCUCCACAUCCCACUUAACCUUCAACCUUCAGUGAUGUUUGUAGCCACUACCAAUGUUCUAUUCAAUCCACUUUAUCCUUUCCCUUAGAAGCUGGUCCCUAAGCAAUUGGCUUUCCCAAGCUCAGAGUGACGGUAUUGAUUGCAGGCCCUGCUAAUCUAGUCCCUGACCCAACCUUCAAAGGGAUAGGGAGAAUAGAAAUGGCCUCAUUUACUAUCUAGUUAAGUACCAAGAUCAGCCAGAACAAUAUGCAGAACCUUGCUGGCAUGCCUGGAACAUAGGAUUGAUCUCUUAGUUUCAAUUAUUGCCCAAACUGCCUUGGGAACAUGGUCUGUGAACACUAGUUGUUCUCCCUAGGGCUUGCCUUUGGAGUUGCUUUAGUUUUCUCAAUUUUGUACCUGCCUAGAGAGAUUUCUAUUUAAUAUUGGCUCUUUUCUUCUUGCCAUAGGUCCUGUGGAUAUUGAGGUAUCAAAUGACUCAAAUUAUAGUGCCAAUAAUGUUUGCCACAUUAAAAAUGAGAAUACUGAGAAAAUAUAUGAUUGUGUUCUUAUGUAGUGUAGCGGAUGACCUAUCAUUGAGGUAUCUAAAUUUUUGCUCCUAAACUAAUUAGCUCUUACUAUCUAGGCUUAAUUAGGUCUAGCUUUUUAACUGUGUUACUUUUAAAAAGUUUUCCUCUUAAUCUUUGUGCUAACACUGGACAGCCUCAUCCAAUCUCUAAGCCUCAACUACUCUGUAUUCUGAUGAUUCACUGAACUACAGUCCUAAUCCUAGAUAAGACUAUUUAUAACCUAUAUGAUAUAUCUUUGGUGGGUUGUGUACUUGGAUUAUCCCUGGCACUGGAAAUGUUGCUGAAACACUGUGAAGGAAGAAGGAGAUGGAUGUGUUCUUGGUCUGUUCCACUGUUAUGCAGCCAGGCUUUGAAGAAAAAUUCCAUGCUGAUAACAUCGUUGUCUAUAAUCUGAAGUUCAAUGUCAGUUCCCAGGAUAGAACUCUCUGUAGAAGACAGGGAAAUAAAUAGUGGUUAAAGUGUUAAUUUUUAAAUUAUAAAAUCUGAAAAUAUAAAAUUCAAAUGUACCUAUCUUUUGACCCAUUCAUUGCAUUUCUAGAUAUCUAGCCUAAAGAAUUCUUAGACAGUACACAAAGAGAUAUAUGCGAAGAUGUUCAGGGUAUCAUUGUAGUCAUAACAAAUAAUCAAAACCCCAAACAGGAGGCAAUUCCAGUGUCCUUCAAUAAGGGAAAGCUUAAAUAAAUCAUGGUACACUUAAACUAUGGAAUAUUAUGCAGCUGUUAACAAUGUAAAACUAAAUGUACUGACAUGGAAAGCUAGUAAAUAAAUAAAAUGAAUAAAUGAA